GAGUUUGAUCAUGGCUCAGAGUGAACGCUGGCGGUAGGCCUAACACAUGCAAGUCGAACGGCAGCACAGUAAGAGCUUGCUCUUACGGGUGGCGAGUGGCGGACGGGUGAGGAAUACAUCGGAAUCUACUUUUUCGUGGGGAUAACGUAGGGAAACUUACGCUAAUACCGCAUACGACCUACGGGUGAAAGCAGGGGAUCUUCGGACCUUGCGCGAUUGAAUGAGCCGAUGUCGGAUUAGCUAGUUGGCGGGUAAAGGCCGACCAAGGCGACGAUCCGUAGCUGGUCUGAGAGGAUGAUCAGCCACACUGGAACUGAGACACGGUCCAGACUCCUACGGGAGGCAGCAGUGGGGAAUAUUGGACAAUGGGCGCAAGCCUGAUCCAGCCAUA
This 391-nucleotide ribosomal RNA is filed under the name uncultured microorganism. RNAcentral describes it as "bacterial SSU rRNA". It matches the Rfam family "Bacterial small subunit ribosomal RNA", at positions 9 to 396 of the family's 1533-position model. The record is from RNAcentral.